Molecule: unclassified non-coding RNA, 397 nt
Filed under: soil metagenome
Description: partial contains 5.8S ribosomal RNA, internal transcribed spacer 2, and large subunit ribosomal RNA
Rfam family: 5.8S ribosomal RNA (bases 1-122)
Source: RNAcentral
GAUGAAGAACGUAGCGAAAUGCGAUACUUGGUGUGAAUUGCAGAAUCCCGUGAACCAUCGAGUCUUUGAACGCAAGUUGCGCCUCAAGCCAUUAGGUUGAGGGCACGUCUGCCUGGGCGUCACAUAUCGUUGCCUGAUGCCAGUUUCCUCGUGAUGGGUGACUGUGCAGGGCGAAUGAUGGCUUCCCGUGAGCAUUGUUGCCUCAUGGUUGGUUGAAAAUUGAGUCCUUGGUAGGGAGCGCCGUGAUAGAUGGUGGUUGAGUGACGAACGAGACCCAAUCAUGUGAGACCCCUACCGAAUUUGGCCUUCAUGACCCACAUGCGUCUUUGGAACGCUCAUGACGAGACCUCAGGUCAGGCGGGGCUACCCGCUGAGUUUAAGCAUAUCAUAAGCGGAA